Molecule: long non-coding RNA, 649 nt
Organism: Rhopalosiphum padi (bird cherry-oat aphid)
Lineage: Eukaryota; Metazoa; Arthropoda; Insecta; Hemiptera; Aphididae
Exons: 3
Source: RefSeq, a predicted model, not a curated record
UACUCAGUUAGUUUACAUUCGUAGAUUUAAUAAAUGACUUUAUAACAAAGGCAACUAAUUAUAAAGUAUGUUUAUAUAUUUAGCGUAUCACAGAAAACUUAAAGACGGUUUUAAAGAUAUCACUGAAUUGAAAAAUCAAGAAUCUAAUUACGUGUCUAACGUAAAGCAGGCUGAACAUGAUUCUAUUGAAAAAAGAACGAAAGGUACCUGUUAUGCAUUAACCGAAACAGAAUAUUAUGAUGUAAUUUUAAGUAAGUAAUUACGUUUUUUAAGUUCUAUCAUUAUUGUUUAAGCAUCAACAACAAGGUUAUUACUUUAUUAGUUACUUAUGGCUAUUGAUCGUGGUAUUGCAUGAGCAGGUUAUGGUCCAGCUCAUUGUUGUUUCUUAUUAAACAAAAAACAAUAAAAAAACAUGUUUAGCAUGCAAACACGACUUAAGCGCAUUUAUACUUGUGACUUAAUAUGACUUGCGAGUGCGGAUUUUAUUUUAUUAAAAUUGCUGGCUUACAUUAAAAAAAAAUAACUUUAGGUAGCAAGUAUUGGUACGAGUAUAUUGUAUAUUAAAUAAAAAUAACUAACAUUAAAUUGUUUAAUUUUAUUGUUUGGGAAUGUAAAUAGUGUAUCAUAGUAAGUAUAUAUGUUUAUAUUA